AUGGCUACUACAAGCUGCUGGUUCUUGGUGUUCGUCUGGAUAGUAUGGUGGUUGCCGCUGAUGCUCGCCGGGCAUGAGGAGCAGCGGCAACCGGAAGGCUGCUCGGCCAAGAGUUGCGGCAACCUCACCAUCUCCGACCCAUUCUGGCUCGCUGAGAGUGAGGCGGGAAGGUCGUGUGGUCCCUUGGAUUUUGCGGUCGAUUGCUGGGAAGACAGUAUUCCAAUUCUCAAGAGCUCUGCAUUCAUUGGCUUCGCCAUCAAGGGCAUCUCGUACGAGGAACGCAGUUUGCGCGUCGUUGAUGCACAUAAAGUGCAAGACUUCAACGUCUCCAACAGCAGCUGCCACUUCCCGGGAUGGAACACCUCCGUCAAACUGGCACGGCCGUUCAAGGUCAGCCACGCCAAUUGUAGGUUCCGACUAGCCCUAGCUCUAGCCCUCUCCUCCCUCGCACUGAUCUCUCUCUCUCUCCGGCCGUGGCUCGAACCAGCGACGACGAGGUGGAAGGAGGAAGAAGGAGCACACAGUGGACACGGUGAGGUUUUUCCCGUCGCAACAACGCCUGUUCCCGAGCUCGUACUCAUCACCUCCGUCAACAACAAACACACGGGCGGGAGGGUUUUAUACCCGCGUCCAUCGGCGCACCACACCGCGCCCCGACGCACCCCCCUCCGCGCACUCCCCACGUCCCUGCGCUCCCGGCCCGCGCUCCCGCCGCGCACACACGCGAUCCGCGCGACCAGGUCCCGGAACAAUAAAGCAGCAAGAUUGAAGACUAUAGCUCGAGCAUUAGGCGGUGUCGGUGCUGUAUUAUUCUUGGUCGUGGCAUGUCUCGUCUAUUUUGUUUGGUACAAACACAAGAAGAGGAAACAAGCUAUAGCUUCAAAUGAGUUCAUGCGAAGUGGAUCUUCAAUGACGUCAUACAGUAAAGACCUCGAGUUGGAUGGUUCUCCUCAUAUAUUCACUUUCGAGGAACUUGAAGUAGCUACUGAUGGAUUUAGUGCUUCAAGGGAGCUUGGUGAUGGUGGUUUUGGAACUGUCUACAAAGGAAAACUCAAGGAUGGGAGAGUAGUUGCAGUGAAACGCCUUUACAAGAACAACUACAGACGGGUUCAGCAAUUUCUGAAUGAGGUUGACAUCCUGUCCCGCCUGCUCCACCAGAACCUUGUCAUCCUAUAUGGUUGCACGUCGCGCAUGAGCCGUGACCUUCUCCUGGUGUACGAGUUCAUCGCAAACGGGACGGUCGCAGACCAUCUUCACGGAUCUCGCUCAGCGGAACGAGGCCUCACAUGGCCUCUAAGGCUAAACAUUGCUAUAGAAACGGCUGAAGCACUGGCCUACCUCCAUGCCGUCGAGAUCAUACACCGGGAUGUGAAGACAACAAACAUAUUACUUGACAACAGCUUCCAUGUUAAAGUUGCAGACUUUGGGUUGUCGCGGCUGUUCCCUCUUGAGGUCACCCAUGUCUCGACCGUUCCACAGGGCACACCGGGCUACGUCGACCCGGUGUACCACCAGUGCUACAAGCUGACCGACAAGAGCGAUGUCUACAGCUUUGGCGUCGUGUUGGUGGAGCUGAUAUCAUCGAAACCUGCUGUGGACAUGAGCAGGAGCCACAGUGAGAUCAACCUGGCCAACAUGGCCCUCAACAGGAUUCAGAACCAUGAAGUUGUUCAGCUGGUUGAUCCGGAGCUCGGCUACGACACCGACCCCGAAACAAAGAGGACGAUCGAUUGCGUCGCCGAGGUGGCCUUCCAAUGCCUGCAGAUGGAUAGGGAUCUGAGGCCGUCGAUCAAGGAGGUGGUGGAGAUCCUGACUUGCGUCAGAAACAGAGACUGUCACGUUAAGAGCAUGAAGAAGCAGGCGUCUCAGAAAGAGGAUGCGGACUUUCUCACGGAUGGCCUGCAGUUUUCGCCUGAUACGGUCAUCCAUAGAUUCCAUAGCCAGUCAACUAACCACUCCGGGGCGUCAAAUGCUAGCGGAUUAUCUAACAUGAAAUGCUGA
This 2001-nucleotide ribosomal RNA is filed under the name Triticum aestivum (bread wheat). RNAcentral's name for it is "partial small subunit ribosomal RNA". Lineage: Eukaryota; Viridiplantae; Streptophyta; Magnoliopsida; Poales; Poaceae. The record is from RNAcentral.